This 518-nucleotide ribosomal RNA is filed under the name uncultured bacterium. RNAcentral describes it as "bacterial SSU rRNA". It matches the Rfam family "Bacterial small subunit ribosomal RNA", at positions 791 to 1315 of the family's 1533-position model. The record is from RNAcentral.
UAGUCCACGCCGUAAACGAUGGUUACUAGCUGUUCGGAACUUGUUCUGAGUGGCUAAGCGAAAGUGAUAAGUAACCCACCUGGGGAGUACGUUCGCAAGAAUGAAACUCAAAGGAAUUGACGGGGGCCCGCACAAGCGGUGGAGCAUGUGGUUUAAUUCGAUGAUACGCGAGGAACCUUACCAGGGCUUAAAUGUAGUGCGACAGGGAUGGAAACAUCUUUUCCUUCGGGCGCAUUACAAGGUGCUGCAUGGUUGUCGUCAGCUCGUGCCGUGAGGUGUCAGGUUAAGUCCUAUAACGAGCGCAACCCCUGUUGUUAGUUGCCAGCGAGUCAAGUCGGGAACUCUAACAAGACUGCCAGUGCAAACUGUGAGGAAGGUGGGGAUGACGUCAAAUCAUCACGGCCCUUACGUCCUGGGCUACACACGUGCUACAAUGGCCGGUACAGAGGGCAGCCACUACGCGAGUAGGAGCGAAUCCUUAAAACCGGUCUCAGUUCGGAUCGGAGUCUGCAACUCGA